GUUAUUUCCAAAUGCUUUUAUGCUUCCUGAUGCUAAGAUACACAUAGUGAAUCAGAGGAUAGCGUCCAAUAUACAUUAACACUAAAGUAUCCUAGUUUUGACAUCAUACAAAACACAUUUAGUGGAAGUUGCACUCACAUACUCCCCCUUUUCUAUGAUGGCAAAACUUGAGACGGUGUGUUUGCAAUGGAAAGCUCCCCCUUAACAUAUGCAUCCCAAUUUAU
This 224-nucleotide long non-coding RNA is filed under the name Lathyrus oleraceus (garden pea). RNAcentral's name for it is "Pisum sativum (pea) long non-coding RNA (PSAT_LNC018566)". The record is from RNAcentral. Lineage: Eukaryota; Viridiplantae; Streptophyta; Magnoliopsida; Fabales; Fabaceae.